Mycena maculata is the source of this 92-nucleotide non-coding RNA. NCBI's taxonomy places the organism in Eukaryota, Fungi, Basidiomycota, Agaricomycetes, Agaricales, Mycenaceae. The record is from the annotation of a GenBank genome assembly.
GGCGCUGUAGCAUGUGGUGUUGCACCACGGUUUACUUGAAGGACAACAUAUUGUUGUCGCGGAUGUCCUGGGUUCGACUCCCGGUGGUGCCG